GACGAACGCUGGCGGCGUGCUUAACACAUGCAAGUCGAACGGUGAACCGGGCUUCGGCCCGGGGAUCAGUGGCGAACGGGUGCGUAACGCGUGGGCAACCUGCCUCAGACACUGGGAUAACCCCGGGAAACCGGGGCGUAAUACCGGAUACUCCGACCGGACUGCAUGAUCCGGUCGGGAAAGCUCCGACGGUCUGAGAUGGGCCCGCGGCC
This 212-nucleotide ribosomal RNA is filed under the name uncultured bacterium. RNAcentral describes it as "partial 16S ribosomal RNA". It matches the Rfam family "Bacterial small subunit ribosomal RNA", at positions 28 to 238 of the family's 1533-position model. The record is from RNAcentral.